Molecule: transfer RNA, 73 nt
Filed under: Bos taurus (domestic cattle)
Lineage: Eukaryota; Metazoa; Chordata; Mammalia; Artiodactyla; Bovidae
Also listed under: 6 other names
Rfam family: tRNA
About the family: Transfer RNA (tRNA) molecules are approximately 80 nucleotides in length.
Source: Rfam by way of RNAcentral
UCCUUGCUGGUCCAGUGGUUAGGACGCCAUGCUUCCACUGCCAGGGACCCAGGUUCAAUCCCUGGUCAGGGAA